CUACGGAAGGCAGCAGUUAGGAAUAUUGGACAAUGGGCGAAAGCCUGAUCCAGCCAUGCCGCGUGUGUGAUGAAGGCCCUAGGGUUGUAAAGCACUUUCGUUGGGGAUGAUAAUGACAGUACCCAAAGAAGAAGCCACGGCUAAAUUCGUGCCAGCAGCCGCGGUAAUACGAAUGUGGCAAGCGUUGUUCGGAAUCACUGGGCGUAAAGAAUGCGUAGGCGGCUUAACAAGUCGGGAGUGAAAUCCCAGGGCUUAACCCUGGAACUGCUCUCGAAACUGUUUUGCUAGAGUCCCGGAGGGGUUAGCGGAAUUCCGAGUGUAGAGGUGAAAUUCGCAGAUAUUCGGAGGAACACCAGUGGCGAAGGCGGCUAACUGGACGGGAACUGACGCUGAGGCAUGAAAGUGUGGGGAUCAAACAGGAUUAGAUACCCUGGUAGC
RNAcentral lists this ribosomal RNA (438 nucleotides) under uncultured bacterium. RNAcentral's name for it is "bacterial SSU rRNA". It matches the Rfam family "Bacterial small subunit ribosomal RNA", at positions 339 to 794 of the family's 1533-position model. The record is from RNAcentral.